AUUUAAGUAGUUUAAAUUUUAAAAUUAUGAUUUGUGGUAUCAUAGAUAUAAUAUCUUAUCUUAAAUU
RNAcentral lists this transfer RNA (67 nucleotides) under Arria pallida. RNAcentral describes it as "tRNA-His". The record is from RNAcentral. Lineage: Eukaryota; Metazoa; Arthropoda; Insecta; Mantodea; Haaniidae.